Odontomachus brunneus is the source of this 719-nucleotide long non-coding RNA. RefSeq lists it as uncharacterized. Lineage: Eukaryota; Metazoa; Arthropoda; Insecta; Hymenoptera; Formicidae. The record is from RefSeq and is a predicted model, not a curated record. The transcript is spliced from 3 exons.
CGCACACAAAGACUUUUUAAUAAAUAUAUAUAAAAUUAUAUUUUAUGCACUUUAACUUAUUUUUCAGUGAAUUAAUUGGUUUCAUUGAUGAAAUAGAAGGACCGAAAAUAGUAGGCAAAUUACAAAGUUACAGACUAUUAAAAUUUAUGUUAAAUAACAAUAGUCAACAUAGGAUCCAAAUAGUUGCAUGGAAUAAAGAAAUUGAAAAAAUAGAACAUCAUAUGAAACCUAAUUAUAUGUACAUGGUUUUAUAAAAACAAAUUUUAAUUACACACAAAUAAAUCAUAACAGUUUUGGUAUUGGAUCUAUUACUGAUGGGAUGUAUAAAUUAGAAGUACAAGUAAAUGAUAAUUGUGAUGAAAAUAUAUAUGAAAAAGGACAACACGUACAAAUUAAAGGAUAUAUUAAAAUUAAAAAUGACAUAUUUUAUUUAGAAGUGGAGAAAAUGUCAGAUGUUACACUAUUUGAUAAUCAGAUAAUGUCAUUUUUAAAGCAUUUAAGUGGAGGAAAAAUUGUAUUAAAAAGACAACAUGCAGAAGACAAUUGUGAAACUGCCCAAAAAAUCAUUAGAAAAUGUUUUUCUAAAAAAAUAUUCGAUAUAUUAAUUUAUGAGUUAUAGUCAUUAAUUUGAGUUAUAGUUAUAAUAAAGUUAUGCUGAAGAUAUUGUACUGUUAUUAUGGUUUCUUUUUUAAACGUUUAAAAGUAAAAGAUGAAAGUUA